ACCUCCAUAAUUUCUCAACAAUAAUAAACGCCAAAACCAAAAUCGAUACGAUCUACCUGGGCCAAUUGGUAGGGUCGAAAAUCGAAUUGGAAAACGCGG
Molecule: small RNA, 99 nt
Filed under: Leptocylindrus danicus
Lineage: Eukaryota; Bacillariophyta; Leptocylindrophyceae; Leptocylindrales; Leptocylindraceae
Description: partial transfer-messenger RNA
Source: RNAcentral